GCGAGGUGAUGAUAGAAAUUCAUUUAUCUGUCAAUCCGCUGAUAUUAGUGUGAUGUAUACAUGAAUCCCGACAGGUUCUGAUCGC
This is a non-coding RNA of Cajanus cajan (pigeon pea), 85 nucleotides long. The record is from Rfam. Lineage: Eukaryota; Viridiplantae; Streptophyta; Magnoliopsida; Fabales; Fabaceae.